Molecule: unclassified non-coding RNA, 339 nt
Filed under: soil metagenome
Description: partial contains 5.8S ribosomal RNA, internal transcribed spacer 2, and large subunit ribosomal RNA
Rfam family: 5.8S ribosomal RNA (bases 1-120)
Source: RNAcentral
GAUGAAGAACGCAGCGAAAUGUGAUAAGUAAUGCGAAUUGCAGAUCUCCGUGAGUCAUUGAAUCUUUGAACGCACAUUGCGCCCUCGGGUAUUCCCGAGGGCAUGCCUGUCCGAGCGUCAUUAUCCAACCAUCAAGCUCGGCUUGCGGUUGAGCCCCGCACCGUCCCCGGGACGGUGGGCUCGAAACAUGUUGGGCGCCCGUGAGGUUGUCGGUGCAGCGAGCUCUCGAGCACGUGCCGGGCAACCGCUCUGGGCGUCGGCCAGCCCCCCCAUUUUCUCAGGUUGACCUCGGAUCAGGUAGGAAUACCCGCUGAACUUAAGCAUAUCAAUAAGCGAGGA